UAGGUGUGGGUCUCAUUCCACGAGGUCCGUGCCGCAGCUAACGCAUUAAGUUCCCCGCCUGGGAGUACGGCCGCAAGGCUAAAACUCAAAGGAAUUGACGGGGGCCCGCACAAGCGGCGGAGCAUGUGGAUUAAUUCGAUGCAACGCGAAGAACCUUACCAAGGCUUGACAUAUACCGGAAACAUUCAGAGAUGGGUGCCCCGCAAGGUCGGUAUACAGGUGGUGCAUGGUUGUCGUCAGCUCGUGUCGUGAGAUGUUGGGUUAAGUCCCGCAACGAGCGCAACCCUCGUUCUAUGUUGCCAGCACGUGAUGGUGGGGACUCAUAGGAGACUGCCGGGGUCAACUCGGAGGAAGGUGGGGAUGAGGUCAAAUCAUCAUGCCCCUUAUGUCUUGGGCUUCACACAUGCUACGAUGGCCGGUACAAAGGGCUGCGAUACCGCGAGGUGGAGCGUAUCCCAAAAACCGGCCUCAGUUCGGAUUGGGGUCUGCAACUCGACCCCAUGAAGUUGGAGUCGCUAGUAAUCGCAGAUCAGCAACGCUGCGGUGAAUACGUUCCCGGGCCUUGUACACACCGCCCGUCAAGUCACGAAAGUCGGUAACACCCGAAGCCGGUGGCCCAACCCUUGUGGAGGGAGCCGUCGAAGGUGGGGCUG
RNAcentral lists this ribosomal RNA (653 nucleotides) under uncultured bacterium. RNAcentral's name for it is "bacterial SSU rRNA". It matches the Rfam family "Bacterial small subunit ribosomal RNA", at positions 817 to 1470 of the family's 1533-position model. The record is from RNAcentral.